Molecule: non-coding RNA, 517 nt
Organism: Parasteatoda tepidariorum (common house spider)
Lineage: Eukaryota; Metazoa; Arthropoda; Arachnida; Araneae; Theridiidae
Source: RefSeq, a predicted model, not a curated record
UGAAUCAAGUUAGCAUGUCUUAUAUACCUGAAUUGAUAUACUGAAUUGAUGUUUAACUGUUAACAUUUACUGUAUUGAUGUUUAAAUUCGUAGUGGUAGUUACGCCACAAGCUCUAGUGCUAUGUAAAUAAAGUACCUACAUACCUACGCCACCUAUAGCUACUACGUCUCCACAAAGCUUUGAAAGUUAAAAGCUUGUUUUAAAUGGCACAGACAUAUGCAGCAGCAAGCAACUUAGCAAAACAAAAAAUUUGAUCUCUUUCUGAUUUAAGAUUCUAGUUAUUAUUUAGUCUUUCUGAAAUAAAUAUAGGACAUUAACUUUUCUAAUAAAUAUAAAUCCGAAUUAGGAUGAGUGUUCCUACUUUUAAUGAUGCAACUGAUGAGGAGCAGUAUCAAGAUCUUCGUAGCUAUUUGAAUAGUCUUGGAGGCCAUAUUUGAUAGGAGAAUUCAGAUGAAGGAUUUCUGACUGAUUUAGAAGAUGUGAUUGGCUGUUGUGAAUUAUGACUUCAUGAAGCUG